AUUGAACGCUGGCGGCAGGCUUAACACAUGCAAGUCGAGCGGGGUGAUGGUGCUUGCACUAUCACUUAGCGGCGGACGGGUGAGUAAUGCUUAGGAAUCUGCCUAUUAGUGGGGGACAACAUCUCGAAGGGGAUGCUAAUACCGCAUACGUCCUACGGGAGAAAGCAGGGGAUCACUUGUGACCUUGCGCUAAUAGAUGAGCCUAAGUCGGAUUAGCUAGUUGGUGGGGUAAAGACCUACCAAGGCGACGGUCUGUAGCGGGUCUGAGAGGAUGAUCCGCCACACUGGGACUGAGACACGGCCCAGACUCCUACGGGAGGCAGCAGUGGGGAAUAUUGGACAAUGGGGGGAACCCUGAUCCAGCCAUGCCGCGUGUGUGAAGAAGGCCUUAUGGUUGUAAAGCACUUUAAGCGAGGAGGAGGCUCUUUUGGUUAAUACCCAAGAUGAGUGGACGUUACUCGCAGAAUAAGCACCGGCUAACUCUGUGCCAGCCGCCGCAGUAA
RNAcentral lists this ribosomal RNA (503 nucleotides) under uncultured bacterium. RNAcentral describes it as "partial 16S ribosomal RNA". It matches the Rfam family "Bacterial small subunit ribosomal RNA", at positions 30 to 523 of the family's 1533-position model. The record is from RNAcentral.